ACAGAGCCCUGAUUGGUGCGUUUACAAACCUUUAGCUAGACAGAGUGCUGAUUGGUGCCUUUACAAUCCUUUAGCUAGAGGGAAAAGUUCUUCAAGUCCCCACCCGUCCCAGAAGCCCAGCCGGCUUCACCUCUCACUGGCACUCGCCACAGGCAGUCAGGCAGCCCAGCGGGAGCUCAUCCCCUAAUCAAGCCCAGCAGGCUCCGGCAGGCCACGCCCAGUGCGGGGCCCGCGGAGCUCGCACCCACCCGGAACCCGCGCUGGCGCUCCGGCCGCGCGCAGGCCCCGCUUCUGCAGGCGCCUCUCCCUCUGCACCUCCCCGCGAGGAGAGGGAGCGGGCUCCGGCCUCGGCCAGCCCCAGAGAGGGGCGCCCACAGCGCAGCGGCGGGCUGAAGGGCUGCUCAAGCGCGACCAGAGCGGACGCCGAGGCUGAGGAGGCCCUGAGAGCGAGGAGAGCGAGGAGAGCGAGCGAGGGUUGCUAGCACGUUGUCACCUCUCACAAUGACUGUCUUCCUCAAGUGUCAGUUCCUCCUUGUUCACUGUCUCGACUACCACCAUAUAAGGCAUGCUUCCUCCUCUGCAAUGAUUGCAAGUUUCCUGAGGCCUCCUCAGCCAUGCAGAACUAGACACUGUAUCGUCAUGUUGUCCAGCCUGGUCUCAAACUCCUGGACUCAAACAAUCCUCCUUCCUCAGCCUUCCAAAGUACUGGUGUGUCUGGAAUUGGUGGGUUCUUGAUCUCACUGACUUCAAGAAUGAAGCCGCGGACCCUCGCAGUGAGUGUUACAGUUCUUAAAGGCGGCAUGUCCGGAGUUUGUUCCUUCUGAUGUUCGGAUGUGUUCGGAGUUUCUUCCUUCUGGUGGGUUCGUGGUCUCACUGGCUCAGGAGUGAAGCUGCAGACCUCUGCGGUGAGUGUUACAGCUCUUAAGGCGGCAUGUCUGGAGUUGUUUGUUCCUCCCGGUGGGUUCGUGGUCUUGCUGGCUUUAGGAGUGAAGCUGCAGACCUUCGAGGUGAGUGUUACAGCUCAUAAAGGCAGUAUGGACCCAAAGAGUGAGCAGCAGCAAGAUUUAUUGCAAAGAGUGAAAGAACAAAGCUUCCACAGUGUGGAAGGGGACCCGAGUGGGUUGCCACUGCUGUCUCAGGCAGCCUGCUUUUAUUCUCUUAUCUGGCCCCAUCCACAUCCUGCUGAUUGGUACAGCCGAGUGGUCUGUUUUGACAGGGCACUGAUUGGUGCGUUUACAAUCCCUGAGCUAGACACAAAGGUUCUCCAUGUCCCCACCAGAUUAGCUAGAUACAGAGUGUCCACACAAAGGUUCUCCAAGUCCCCACCAGAGUAGCUAGAUAUAGAGUGUCAAUUGGUGUAUUCACAAACCCUGAGCUAGACACAGGGUGCUGAUUGGUGUGUUUACAAACCUUGAGGUAGAUAAAGAGUGCCGAUUGGUGUAUUUACAAUCCCUGACUAGACACAAAGGUUCUCCACGUCCCCACCAGAUUAGCUAGAUACAGUGUCGACAUGAAGGUUCUCCAAGUCCCCACCAGAGUAGCUAGAUACAGAGUGUCGUCACGAAGGUUCUCCAAGUCCCCACCAGAGUAGCUAGAUACACAGUGUCGAUUGGUGCAUUCACAAACCCUGAGCUAGACACAGGGUGCUGAUUGGUGUGUUUACAAACCAUGAGCUAGAUACAGAGUGCCGAUUGGUGUAUUUACAAUCCCUGAGCUAGAAAUAAAGGGUUCUCCACCUCCCCACCAGACUCAGGAGCCCAGCUGGCUUCAGCCAGUGGAUCUCACACUGCGGCUGCAGGUGGAGCUGCCUGCCAGUCCCACGCCAUGCACCCACACUCCUCAGCCCUUGAGUGGUCGAUGGGACUGGGUGCCACGGAGCAGGGGGCCUCCGUGUUGGGGAGGCACGGGUUGCACAGGAGCCCAUGGAGGUGGGGGGAGGCUCAGGCAUGGUGGGCUGCAGGUCCUGAGCCUUGCCCAACGGGAAGGCAGCUAAGGCCCGGGGAGAAGUGGAGCGCAGCACUGGUGGGCCGGCACUGCUGGGGGACCCAGCACACCCUCCGCAGCUGCUGGCCCGGGUGCUAAGCUCCUCGUUGCCUGGGGCCGACAGGGCCAGCCAGCCGCUCUGAGUGCGGGGCCUGCCGAGCCCACACCCACCUGUAACUCGCGCUGGCCCGCAAGCACCGCGCGCAGCCCCGGUUCCCGCUUGGGCUUCUCCCUCCACACCUCCCUGCAAGCUGACGGAGCCAGCUCCGGCCUCAGCCAGCCCAGGAAGGGGCUCCCACAGUGCAGCAGUGGGCUGAAGGGCUCCUCAAGCGAGGCCAGAGUGGGUGCCAAGGCCAAGGAGGCGCCGAAAGCGAGCCAGGGCUGUGAGGGCUGCCAGCAUGCUGUCACCUCUCACUGGGGUUAUAGCUGUGAGCCACUGUGUCGGGUCAGAAACCAUUUUUUUUUUUAAGCUGCUUUGUAUUUAAGGUUGGGGAAGUCAAUCCUCAGAUAAGAAGCAACUAGUUGUAACAUCCUAUCAGUAUUUGAGUGAAGAACUGGGAUUAGAACCCAGGAUAUUCUUAAAUAAGGACAUUUUCUCCUUUAUUUUAUUCCCUUCACUGGCCCACUUUUUAUUCACCAUCGAGCAAAUUUUCUUUAAAAGCCUGUGUUUGUAAAAGGAACAGGGUCUGCAAAUAUUUAAUUUUUAUUCUUCUCUCAAAUCCUCCACACCUUUAUUUUGAUGUCAUAAAUAUCCGUUCCUUAACAGGUCUCUUGAUAAGAAAAAUGGGGAAAUAUUUGCUCAGCUAGACUGAUCAUCACCUAUCAUUAGGAAAUUCACAUGCAUCGACACACUACACAGUAAACUUUCCUUUUUCUUUCUUCUACACCUCACCUCAUCACACAGAAACAUACACAAUGAUUCACCAUAACCAAAACCUUGUAUGUCAACAACCAACCUAUUCAAGCAACUAAUGUCCUCCAACACAGUCUAAAUAUGCAAACUCUCUAAAGUUCCUUCAGGAAAUAAGAUGUAUAAAGCAGAGACAACACAAAAUGUAUAUAUAAUCAGAAUCCAAUUAUAAAACUGUACACAUAUGUUUAUGUUAGAUGUUUAAAGAUCCACUGUGUGAAAGAACAACCUGGUUUAGGGGAGCAGAAACAGAGAUGUCUUCUCCUAGGCCCCUUAUUUAACCCGUGUAUCUUUAAUUUCCAUCCCAAGAUCCUAAAAUCUCACAAUAGUCUCACAUUCUUUUAAAGUCCAACCACUGAUUUUCUAUGCUCAUCUCUGCAGUGGACUAAAUGUUUAUUUCCUCCCAGAAAUUAUAUAUUGAAAUCCUAACUGCCAUGGUAAUGAUAUUAGGAGGUGGGGUUUUGGGGAGGUGAUUAAGUCAUUAAGGCAGGGUCCUCAUGAAUGACUUUAGUGUUGUUAUAAAAGAGGUCCAAGAAAGCACCCUCACCCCUUCCACCACUGGAGGACAUAGACAGAGGGCAUCAUCUAUGAACUAGAAAGUGGGCCUUCACCAGGCCCUAAAUCUGCCAGCACCUUGAUCUGGAACUCCUUAGCUUCUGAAAUUGUGAGAAAUAAAUUUCUGUUGUUUAUAAACUACUCAGUUUAUGCUACUUUUUUUUUUAUGGCAUCCCAGACAGACUAGGCAAUCUGAUCAAACCUCUCUUGAGUAGCUCCUAUUGUAUACAAGCCUUAUACUCUGUCAGGGAUGUGGGGAACCUACCUAAUAUGGAAGGUUCUAAACUAUAGACAAUUAUGCAUCAAAGCUCACCACAAACUUUGGCAUUCAUGGCAUAGUUUAAAGAAGUCAUAAUAAAAAAUUUAGAAAUAAUAUUUUAUAGGGCAUUUUAUUUUUAAAUCAAAUCUACUCAUCUCUUGACUUUAUAUUUUAUUAUUGGCUUAAUUUUCAAGAAAGCUAAAUAGUAGUCUUUGGUCCAGCAAUCAUUUUUUGUUAUAAUUUUAUUCUGAUUCUUUCCAUUUCAAAGCUAAUAAUACAUAUUUCAUAAUGCACUACCCUUUUAAAAUAUUAGCAUGCAGAAAAUGUACUUUACUAUUUUAAUUAAUGUACCUGUCAUAUUCUGAAUAUUCUGAUACGCUUGCAAGGGGUGUGAAAUAUUAGGAACAUAAAUAAAAAUAUUCAUUGUUGCAUUUCAUUAGUGCUCAGACAAUGAAUAGAAAAGGAAAUUUCCAUAAAUUGAUGUUAAAAUUUAGGGUGAUUUUUUAACUGAAGCCUGUAAUUUUCUAUCUUCAAUAUUCCUUUGAUAAAAUAAUUUAUUUAUUGAUAAUGACCAAAUUGAAAAGUUGAGAACUACAGGAACUAGUAAGAAAGAAUUGUGUGUGUGUGUGUGUGUGCAUAUAUGUGAGUGUGUGUGUGUCUGUGUGUGCUUAUAUAUCUGUGUGUAUUUGGGAUGACCUCUAUCAUAUGAGAGGUUUUCUGUGUGAAGUUAUAGUAGAGAUUAUGGCAUGGCUGGUACUCCAACCACUAGAGGCUCCCUGUGGAGCUGCUCCUUCUACCUGGAGCUGGGAAAAUGAAAAGAAGUCCAGACUGGAGUCCUUGCUGCCUUAUACUGCUGGGGAGAUGCAGACUCCACCUCAAAGCAGGAAAGGCACUUUAUUUUCCCUUCAUCCACCUAUGGUAGACACUAAGGGGAAACCAGCUGGCAAAGAAGCCUGGAGUCUCAAUGCCAGAACUACAAGACAGAGUAUAGAAGGGUGAUUUCAGAUAUGUGACAUAUCAGGGAAGUGGCUGGCUCAGAGAUUCAAGAUACAAGAAGAGACAUGUAGAGGGAUGGGUACUUCUCCACCGUUUGAGAUUAUUGAACUUGGAAACAAAUGUUCAACAGGAUGAUG
Pan troglodytes (chimpanzee) is the source of this 4840-nucleotide long non-coding RNA. RefSeq lists it as uncharacterized. The record is from RefSeq and is a predicted model, not a curated record. The transcript is spliced from 3 exons. Lineage: Eukaryota; Metazoa; Chordata; Mammalia; Primates; Hominidae.